RNAcentral lists this ribosomal RNA (1018 nucleotides) under Triticum aestivum (bread wheat). RNAcentral describes it as "rRNA SSU_rRNA_eukarya". It matches the Rfam family "Bacterial small subunit ribosomal RNA", at positions 875 to 1520 of the family's 1533-position model. The record is from RNAcentral. Lineage: Eukaryota; Viridiplantae; Streptophyta; Magnoliopsida; Poales; Poaceae.
GGGGAGUAUGGUCGCAAGACCGAAACUCAAAGGAAUUGACGGGGGCCUGCACAAGCUGUGGAGCAUGUGGUUUAAUUCGAUACAACACGCAAAACCUUACCAACCCUUGACAUAUGAACAACAAAACCUGUCCUUAACAGGAUGGUACUGACUUUCAUACAGGUGCUGCAUGGCUGUCGUCAGCUCGUGUCGUGAGAUGUUUGGUCAAGUCCUAUAACGAGCAAAACCCUCGUUUUGUGUUGCUGAGACAUGCGCCUAAGGAGAAAUUGCCACCGAGUGACGUGCCAGUGCUACUACUUGAUUGAGUGCCAGGACGUAGCUGUGCUUUCAGCAAGAAUUUCACCAUUGGAGCCGGUGUCUUUUGAAGCACUUUCACGUGUGAACCGAAGUCGUCUUGCCCAAGAACCACGGAGACCUACCUAUAGUGACGUCAAAGUACCAGUGAGCAUGGAGGUUUGGUUGAAAUUGGUUACGACGACGUCGAGUUGGCGGUGGAGGAAGACUCGGCAUGAAGGCCGGAAAAUGGUGUGGAACGUAGUGGUAAUAGUACGCGCCCCGCUCCGAAACAAAGAAAAAGGUGCGUGCCGCACUCACGAGGGACUGCCAGUGAGAUACUCGAGGAAGGUGGGGAUGACGUCAAGUCCGCAUGGCCCUUAUGGGCUGGGCCACACACGUGCUACAAUGGCAAUGACAAUGGGAAGCAAGGCUGUAAGGCGGAGCGAAUCCGGAAAGAUUGCCUCAGUUCGGAUUGUUCUCUGCAACUCGGGAACAUGAAGUUGAAAUCGCUAGUAAUCGCGGAUCAGCAUGCUGCGGUGAAUAUGUACCCGGGCCCUGUACACACCGCCCGUCACACCCUGGGAAUUGGUUUCACCCGAAGCAUCGGACCAAUGAUCACCCAUGACUUCUGUGUACCACUAGUGCCACAAAGGCCUUUGGUGGUCUUAUUGGCGCAUACCACAGUGGGGUCUUCGACUGGGGUGAAGUCGUAACAAGGUAGCCGUAGGGGAACCUAUGGCUG